This 252-nucleotide ribosomal RNA is filed under the name uncultured bacterium. Its description in RNAcentral is "partial 16S ribosomal RNA". It matches the Rfam family "Bacterial small subunit ribosomal RNA", at positions 524 to 775 of the family's 1533-position model. The record is from RNAcentral.
UACGUAGGGGGCGAGCGUUAUCCGGAUUUACUGGGCGUAAAGCGCGUUAAGGCGGCCGGUCAAGUUGGUGGUGAAAUCUCAAGGCUCAACCUUGAAACUGCCUCCAAUACUGAUUGGCUAGAGUGUGAGAGAGGAAGGUGGAAUUCCCGGUGUAGUAGUGAAAUGCGUAGAUAUCGGGAGGAACACCAGUGGCGAAGGCGGCCUUCUGGCUCAUAACUGACGCUGUAGCGCGAAAGCGUGGGGAGCGAACGG